GUUUGGUCUCACAGCUCGCAGCAGGAUGCAACCACCGUGCCUGCGUGUCACUCUUCAGGAGACCCCUGGCCACCUGCUCGAGCAUCCAUCUUUGCUCCCAGCUCGUUAGAAGCACCCUGGGAUUUGCUGUGGAGGAGCAGCAGUCAAUGCGUGCUUUGUUCUUUCUCUGUUCUUGAAAUCUUCACAAUAUCCUAGGAGAAAGAGGGAAGGCAUGCAGGUUUCCCCACACACCGCUGAGGCCCUGGCCAGAUUUACCUCCCCUGGCCUGCACCUCACAGCACUCCCACCCCAGCCCUGGGCUCAUGGGAGCAGGGCCCUGAGUUCUGCCCUUGGCAGCCCUCUUGGAACAGCCAUGUCCUGCACACACUGCCUGAUCCCCAGGCACCCGCUGCUCCGCUCUGCACAGGAGCACACCCUGGCCCUGGGCUUCGGUCUUCAGCCUGCUCUCCCUUAUGCCAGAUUUAACCCUCGUUGUUUCCCUUGUUUCAUCACACAGUUACAAGUAAUGAAGAUGAAACACUUAAAGAUGCGCCUGGAAUUGAAUACUUCCUUCAAGGAGCCGACUUGCUCAUUUGGGAAGCACAUCAUACAAGAAGAUUAUUAGUUAACAUCCAUCUGCAAACAUGGUUUCAAGGGCAUGAAGUUGUCAGGAAGCACUGCUGAGACAGGCUGGCAUCACCAACUGCUGUGACACCGCUGGUGGGAUUUCUAGAGAAAAGUCCUGUUGAGUUUGAUGUAGUUGCAACGUCCUUGUUACUUCGCCAUGCAAUAUAAUAUGUAGAGGUGGGCUGCAUCCAUAUCUACAAGUGGGUUCUUCAGCAAUCACCUGCAAUACAAGCAAAAACAUCCUAAGUGUUUGCAUAUUUGUCAUAGUAUCAUAGAGUCAUAGAAUCCUUAGAGCUGGAAGAGACCUUUAAAGGCCACGUGGUCCAACUGCCCUGCACUGCACAGGGACACCACAGCUGGAUCAGGUUGCCCAGGGCCUGAUCAGCCUGGCCUUGAAAGUCUCCAUGGAUGGGGCAUCCACCACAUCUCUGGGCAACCUGUGCCAGUGCCUCACCACCCUCACUGUGAAAGACUUUUUCCUUAUGCCCAACCUAGAUCUCCCCUCUUUGAGCUUGAAGCCAUUUCCCCUUGUUCUAUCAGACCCUGCUAAAGAGUCUGCCCCCUUCUUUCUCGUAGCUCCUCUUUGGAUACUGACAGGCCAAUUAUUUCCAAUAUUUUAUUUAACAACAUACUGUUGAAAGAAUGAAGAAGGGAAAAUGAAUGAAGAUGAGAUCAGAUACUGGCUACCACUAGAGUGCUACUUUGUUGAUUCAAAGUAGAUAGUAUUUCAGAAACAUAAAACAGCAGAAUUUAGUACAAAAACUCUUCCUGGACACAGGUAAAUAUUUUAUUAGCAUCGAGAUACCAACUGCUGUAACAUUCAUUGAGAAUUUUCUAACAGAGCAGAGUGCAGUGCUGUGAGGCAUCCUG
RNAcentral lists this long non-coding RNA (1476 nucleotides) under Phasianus colchicus (ring-necked pheasant). Its description in RNAcentral is "lncRNA (ENSPCLG00000019506.1)". The record is from RNAcentral. Lineage: Eukaryota; Metazoa; Chordata; Aves; Galliformes; Phasianidae.